GAAGGUAUAGCUCAAGCAGUAAAGCGCAUGCUUAGCAUGUACAAGGUCCUGGGUUCAACCCCCAGUACCGCCU
This is a transfer RNA of Camelus ferus (Wild Bactrian camel), 73 nucleotides long. It matches the Rfam family "tRNA". From Rfam's summary of the family: Transfer RNA (tRNA) molecules are approximately 80 nucleotides in length. Their secondary structure includes four short double-helical elements and three loops (D, anti-codon, and T loops). The record is from Rfam. NCBI's taxonomy places the organism in Eukaryota, Metazoa, Chordata, Mammalia, Artiodactyla, Camelidae.